RNAcentral lists this ribosomal RNA (1426 nucleotides) under Insuetophrynus acarpicus. RNAcentral describes it as "partial 16S ribosomal RNA". It matches the Rfam family "Bacterial large subunit ribosomal RNA", at positions 135 to 2597 of the family's 2925-position model. The record is from RNAcentral. Lineage: Eukaryota; Metazoa; Chordata; Amphibia; Anura; Rhinodermatidae.
GCCAAAAAUCUAGCCAUACUUAAUUUAAUAGAAAAAAUCUACCUACUUCACAAACUAAAUUAAAACAUUUUAACAUCCUAGUAAAGGCGAUUGAAAAUUAUGUCAGAGCAAUACACAAAGUACCGCAAGGGAAUGAUGAAAUAAAAAUGAAACACUUAUAAGCACAAAAAAGUAAAGAUAAACUCUUGUACCUUUUGCAUCAUGGUUUAACUAGUCAAAUCAAGCAAAAAGAAUUUUAGUUUGACCUCCCGAAACUAAGUGAGCUACUUCAAGGCAGCUUUAUGAGCAAACCCGUCUCUGUUGCAAAAGAGUGGGAAGACCUUCAAGUAGGGGUGAUAGACCUAACGAACCUAGUGAUAGCUGGUUACUCAAGAAAAAGAUUUUAGUCCAGCCUAAUGGUUUUAAAAUAUGACUAAAUAUAAACUAAACAUUAGAGUAAUUCAAAUAAGGUACAGCCUUUUUGAAACAGGAUACAACCUCUACUAAUGGGUAAUUUUAAUUAAACACAACCAAGUAGGCCUAAAAGCAGCCAUCUUAUAAAAAGCGUCAAAGCUUAAUUGUUCAAACACCUAAUACCUAAAUUUUUACAGAACCCUUAUCCAGUAUUGAGUAAUUCUAUACUCGUAUAGAAUAUUUUAUGUUAAAACUAGUAACAAGAAGAAGAACUUCUCUUAAAUGUAAGUAUAAAUCAGAAAGGACUCUCCACUGAUACUUAACAUUCAUGAACAAAAAUUAGCAACUACACAAGAAAACCCUAAUUUACCUAAUGUUAACCUAACACAAGAACAUUUCAAGAAAGAUUUAAAGAAAAAGAAGGAACUCGGCAAACAUUAACCCCGCCUGUUUACCAAAAACAUCGCCUCUUGUCAAACAUAAGAGGUCCAGCCUGCCCAGUGACCCUGUUCAACGGCCGCGGUAUCCUAACCGUGCGAAGGUAGCGUAAUCACUUGCUCUUUAAAUAAGGGCUAGUAUGAAUGGCACCACGAAGGUUAUACUGUCUCCUUUUUCUAAUCAGUGAAACUAAUUUUCCCGUGAAGAAGCGGGAAUUUAUUUAUAAGACGAGAAGACCCUAUGGAGCUUUAAACAUUUAUAACAAUUGCUAAUUAAACUUUAAAAUUUCAGAAUAAUUACAAUUAUCCUAGCACUAUGAUUAUGAGUUUUAGGUUGGGGUGACCGCGGAGCAAAAAUAAACCUCCUCAUUGAAAGAAUUACACUUCUAAGCCAAAAGUUACAACUUCAUGCAUCAACAAAUUGACAUUAAUUGACCCAAUAUUUUGAUCAACGAACCAAGUUACCCUAGGGAUAACAGCGCAAUCCACUUCAAGAGCUCAUAUCGACAAGUGGGUUUACGACCUCGAUGUUGGAUCAGGAUAUCCCAGUGGUGCAGCCGCUACUAAAGGUUCGUUUGUUCAACGAUUAAAAUCCU